Molecule: ribosomal RNA, 671 nt
Filed under: Cryphodera sp. 'Zelandodera' CD2535
Lineage: Eukaryota; Metazoa; Nematoda; Chromadorea; Rhabditida; Heteroderidae
Description: partial 28S ribosomal RNA
Rfam family: Eukaryotic large subunit ribosomal RNA
Source: RNAcentral
AUGAGGUGGAAACGGACAGAGCUGGCGUAUCUGGCCUGUAUUCAGCCAAUUGUUGCUUGGCGCUUGGUUUUUGCUCUCCAGACUGGGACAUGAGCUGAGUUUUGUUUGGUGGCAAUUGGUGCAUUUGCAGGUGGUGUGCGCCGAGGUGCUCGGAGCAGUUGCGCAAACUUGGUGUUGAGGCUAGCCGCCUUCACCGGUGACUGGUACCCGCACUGAGGGAGUGCUGUUUGCUCUGGGUGUUGUUGAACAUUGGUGUAGUCGGGCUUAAGUGGGUACCGAGCUGUCAUUGGGUGGCGGUCGCAUGCGACACGUGUCUACGGGCGGUUCGGUCCUACAUUUGCUCCCAGUUUUGUUCGUCCUCGGUGUAAAAGCCGGUCAUCUGUCUGACCCGUCUUGAAACACGGACCAAGGAGUUUAGCGUGUGCGCGAGUCAUUGGGUGUUGAAAACUCAUAGGCGCAAUGAAAGUGAAUGCAUCCUUUGUGGAGCUGAUGUGCGAUCUGGGUGCACUGCGGUGCCCUGGCGCAGCAUGGUCCCGUUUUGACCGCAUGCGGUAAGGCGGAGACAGAGCGUACGCGCUGAGACCCGAAAGAUGGUGAACUAUUCCUGAGCAGGAUGAAGCCAGAGGAAACUCUGGUGGAAGUCCGAAGCGAUUCUGACGUGCAAAUCGAUC